This 107-nucleotide small nuclear RNA is filed under the name Carlito syrichta (Philippine tarsier). Lineage: Eukaryota; Metazoa; Chordata; Mammalia; Primates; Tarsiidae. The record is from RNAcentral.
GUGCUGACUUUGGCAGCACAUAUACUAAAAUUGGAAUGAUACAGAGAAGAUUAGCAUGGCCCCUGCGCAAGGAUGACACAAAAAUUCAUGAAGCAUUCCAUAUUUUU